RNAcentral lists this ribosomal RNA (1428 nucleotides) under Staphylococcus aureus. RNAcentral describes it as "partial 16S ribosomal RNA". It matches the Rfam family "Bacterial small subunit ribosomal RNA". The record is from RNAcentral. Lineage: Bacteria; Bacillati; Bacillota; Bacilli; Caryophanales; Staphylococcaceae.
UGCAAGUCGAGCGAACGGACGAGAAGCUUGCUUCUCUGAUGUUAGCGGCGGACGGGUGAGUAACACGUGGAUAACCUACCUAUAAGACUGGGAUAACUUCGGGAAACCGGAGCUAAUACCGGAUAAUAUUUUGAACCGCAUGGUUCAAAAGUGAAAGACGGUCUUGCUGUCACUUAUAGAUGGAUCCGCGCUGCAUUAGCUAGUUGGUAAGGUAACGGCUUACCAAGGCAACGAUGCAUAGCCGACCUGAGAGGGUGAUCGGCCACACUGGAACUGAGACACGGUCCAGACUCCUACGGGAGGCAGCAGUAGGGAAUCUUCCGCAAUGGGCGAAAGCCUGACGGAGCAACGCCGCGUGAGUGAUGAAGGUCUUCGGAUCGUAAAACUCUGUUAUUAGGGAAGAACAUAUGUGUAAGUAACUGUGCACAUCUUGACGGUACCUAAUCAGAAAGCCACGGCUAACUACGUGCCAGCAGCCGCGGUAAUACGUAGGUGGCAAGCGUUAUCCGGAAUUAUUGGGCGUAAAGCGCGCGUAGGCGGUUUUUUAAGUCUGAUGUGAAAGCCCACGGCUCAACCGUGGAGGGUCAUUGGAAACUGGAAAACUUGAGUGCAGAAGAGGAAAGUGGAAUUCCAUGUGUAGCGGUGAAAUGCGCAGAGAUAUGGAGGAACACCAGUGGCGAAGGCGACUUUCUGGUCUGUAACUGACGCUGAUGUGCGAAAGCGUGGGGAUCAAACAGGAUUAGAUACCCUGGUAGUCCACGCCGUAAACGAUGAGUGCUAAGUGUUAGGGGGUUUCCGCCCCUUAGUGCUGCAGCUAACGCAUUAAGCACUCCGCCUGGGGAGUACGACCGCAAGGUUGAAACUCAAAGGAAUUGACGGGGACCCGCACAAGCGGUGGAGCAUGUGGUUUAAUUCGAAGCAACGCGAAGAACCUUACCAAAUCUUGACAUCCUUUGACAACUCUAGAGAUAGAGCCUUCCCCUUCGGGGGACAAAGUGACAGGUGGUGCAUGGUUGUCGUCAGCUCGUGUCGUGAGAUGUUGGGUUAAGUCCCGCAACGAGCGCAACCCUUAAGCUUAGUUGCCAUCAUUAAGUUGGGCACUCUAAGUUGACUGCCGGUGACAAACCGGAGGAAGGUGGGGAUGACGUCAAAUCAUCAUGCCCCUUAUGAUUUGGGCUACACACGUGCUACAAUGGACAAUACAAAGGGCAGCGAAACCGCGAGGUCAAGCAAAUCCCAUAAAGUUGUUCUCAGUUCGGAUUGUAGUCUGCAACUCGACUACAUGAAGCUGGAAUCGCUAGUAAUCGUAGAUCAGCAUGCUACGGUGAAUACGUUCCCGGGUCUUGUACACACCGCCCGUCACACCACGAGAGUUUGUAACACCCGAAGCCGGUGGAGUAACCUUUUAGGAGCUAGCCGUCGAAGGUG